UUUUUAAUUUAUUAAAUAAUAAUACACCAAAAGCUACUGGCCAUAUCUGAUUUUUGCAACUCCAGCAAACCCACUGGUAAUUCCCUUCCUCUCAUAUGGCGAUUUACGGCAAGAGACCACCGCCUUCACUCGUCGCUUAUUUUUGGGGCUAUUAGGGUUCGUCGAGCAAGUCCAGUGAGUUCAGUUGUAAGACGGCGACAACGGUGGCGGCCACGGUUCCUUUGGCCUCCGGUCUCUUCGUAUCAAGCACAUCUCUCUCUUUAGGCGUCAAUUUCAUUUUGGGUAUCACCUGGAGAAGGAACCGGUGCGAGUGUGCGACAAUGUCGGAUGAUGAUGAUGAUCAAGUGGACAGUGAUGCGAAUUUGUUUGAUGGGAUGGGUUGCAGUGCUGGAUUGAUCUCUAUUGAUCUUGCCAAACAGCUGAAUAUAUAUAGUUGAAUGCUUAGAGCAUCUUGCUUUGCAACUAUGGCAAUCAGGGAGCUGCUCAAAACAUCAACUUCUAGUUGCUUGGCAAAGGAAUGUGAAGAUGGAUGUUGCUGAUAGCCUGAUACUACUUGGAAGCUAGAUGAAGCUGGAUUUUUGAAGACAGUAGAUCUGUUUUUGUGUAGUGUAGAACUGUAGAUUUUGCUUUUGUUUUGUUUUAUACUUUUAUGUAUGGUUUAAGGCUUAGAGUUCAUGUUUUGCACAAAU
RNAcentral lists this long non-coding RNA (689 nucleotides) under Helianthus annuus (common sunflower). Its description in RNAcentral is "hypothetical non coding rna". Lineage: Eukaryota; Viridiplantae; Streptophyta; Magnoliopsida; Asterales; Asteraceae. The record is from RNAcentral.